RNAcentral lists this long non-coding RNA (258 nucleotides) under Elaeis guineensis (African oil palm). RNAcentral's name for it is "long non-coding RNA (EGUI_LNC046995)". The record is from RNAcentral. Lineage: Eukaryota; Viridiplantae; Streptophyta; Magnoliopsida; Arecales; Arecaceae.
AUAUUUUAUUUGAAUUUAUAAUUACAGGAGCAGUUAGAUGUGCUUGAGAGUGAGGGCUCGGACACCUCUGGCCCUUAUGACCAUUUGUCUCAGAUCUUGGGAUCAGAGCACUCUGGGAGGAUUCGUUGCAUGCCCGAACAUACAUUGACAAGCUAUUGGUCUGCUUCGAGUAUCUCCUCACAUGCUUUCAGGAUUGUCAGUCGAGAGCAACUUGACAAGACCUUGGUGCAGGCAGCUCAGGCUCAGGAGCAUGCAUCU